Molecule: non-coding RNA, 80 nt
Organism: Sphaerobolus stellatus SS14
Lineage: Eukaryota; Fungi; Basidiomycota; Agaricomycetes; Geastrales; Sphaerobolaceae
Source: the annotation of a GenBank genome assembly
GUGCCCAUCGAUUAGUGGUUAAAUCAGUUCGUUGUGGUCUUAGCACCGAACAGCCCCGUGUUCGACUCACGGUGGGCACA